RNAcentral lists this ribosomal RNA (460 nucleotides) under uncultured bacterium. Its description in RNAcentral is "partial 16S ribosomal RNA". It matches the Rfam family "Bacterial small subunit ribosomal RNA", at positions 338 to 795 of the family's 1533-position model. The record is from RNAcentral.
CCUACGGGAGGCAGCAGUGAGGAAUAUUGGUCAAUGGACGAGAGUCUGAACCAGCCAAGUAGCGUGAAGGAUGACUGCCCUAUGGGUUGUAAACUUCUUUUAUAUGGGAAUAAAACGUUCCACGUGUGGGAUUUUGUAUGUACCAUAUGAAUAAGGAUCGGCUAACUCCGUGCCAGCAGCCGCGGUAAUACGGAGGAUCCGAGCGUUAUCCGGAUUUAUUGGGUUUAAAGGGGGCGUAGGUGGAUUGUUAAGUCAGUUGUGAAAGUUUGCGGCUCAACCGUAAAAUUGCAGUUGAAACUGGCAGUCUUGAGUACAGUAGAGGUGGGCGGAAGUCGUGGUGUAGCGGUGAAAUGCUUAGAUAUCACGAAGAACUCCGAUUGCGAAGGCAGUUCACUGGACUGCAACUGACACUGAGGCUCGAAAGUGUGGGUAUCAAACAGGAUUAGAUACCCUUGUAGUC